This 61-nucleotide transfer RNA is filed under the name Pseudoniphargus gorbeanus. The record is from RNAcentral. Lineage: Eukaryota; Metazoa; Arthropoda; Malacostraca; Amphipoda; Allocrangonyctidae.
UAAAAGAUAAGCUAUUUAAGCUGAUGGGCCCAUAACCCAUCUAUGAGAUAUUCUCUUUUUA